CAAGGAAUAGUUUAAUAAAAAUUUUAGUUUUGGAGAUUAGAGAUGGGGAAGAUAAUCCUUUUCCUUGA
This 68-nucleotide transfer RNA is filed under the name Prioninae sp. MJTNT-2012. RNAcentral's name for it is "tRNA-Pro". The record is from RNAcentral. Lineage: Eukaryota; Metazoa; Arthropoda; Insecta; Coleoptera; Cerambycidae.